RNAcentral lists this non-coding RNA (609 nucleotides) under Pan troglodytes (chimpanzee). The record is from RNAcentral. Lineage: Eukaryota; Metazoa; Chordata; Mammalia; Primates; Hominidae.
UUAAUAAAGGGAGAGCAGGAGAGUGGUGACGAAUUUCCACAUUCCGAACAAGCUUGUCGAAAGGGGAGUGCAGGGAAGGAGCAAGAAUGAGGCACUGGAAGACGGCUGUAGGCGCAUGAUGUCACAAGUUAUUGGAAGAAAUCCCUCCAACCUAGGUUGGGACAGAUGAAGGCGGCGCUUAUUGGUGUUCACCAAAACACCAGCAUGGUGUACCAGCUUUGGCUAGAUGAUGCUCAGAAAACCAGAGACUGGGUAAUUAAUAAAAAGAAGAAAUUGAUCUGGCCUACAGUUCUGGAGCCUUGGAAGUCCGAGAUCAAGGGGCUGCAUCUGAUAAAUACCUGGAGUGGGAUUGCUAGAUCACAUGGAAAACACAGAUCCUGGUGCCGAACAUGAGGACAGGACAGGCUGAAGGAGAAAGUGGAAGGAGGGGAGCUUCUCUCUCAGCCUCAUCCUCCUGGGCCUGGAUGCUGGAGAGUCAUGAGGUGCUUCAGAGUACUCUGGGUGAGGAGGGAAAGAUGGUGCCCACCACAUGGAGGCCAGCCUAGGUCUUGUAUGAAACCCGUGAGGCCAGCAGGAGCCAGGCCGUGGCCUGCUGACUGCAUCUGCCAG